This 2903-nucleotide ribosomal RNA is filed under the name Klebsiella quasipneumoniae. RNAcentral describes it as "23S ribosomal RNA". It matches the Rfam family "Bacterial large subunit ribosomal RNA". The record is from RNAcentral. Lineage: Bacteria; Pseudomonadati; Pseudomonadota; Gammaproteobacteria; Enterobacterales; Enterobacteriaceae.
GGUUAAGCGACUAAGCGUACACGGUGGAUGCCCUGGCAGUCAGAGGCGAUGAAGGACGUGCUAAUCUGCGAAAAGCGUCGGUAAGGUGAUAUGAACCGUUAUAACCGGCGAUGUCCGAAUGGGGAAACCCAGUGUGAUUCGUCACACUAUCGUUAACUGAAUACAUAGGUUAACGAGGCGAACCGGGGGAACUGAAACAUCUAAGUACCCCGAGGAAAAGAAAUCAACCGAGAUUCCCCCAGUAGCGGCGAGCGAACGGGGAGCAGCCCAGAGUCUGAAUCAGCUUGUGUGUUAGUGGAACGGUCUGGAAAGUCCGACGGUACAGGGUGAUAGUCCCGUACACCAAAAUGCACAGGCUGUGAACUCGAAGAGUAGGGCGGGACACGUGGUAUCCUGUCUGAAUAUGGGGGGACCAUCCUCCAAGGCUAAAUACUCCUGACUGACCGAUAGUGAACCAGUACCGUGAGGGAAAGGCGAAAAGAACCCCGGCGAGGGGAGUGAAAAAGAACCUGAAACCGUGUACGUACAAGCAGUGGGAGCACCUUUAUGGUGUGACUGCGUACCUUUUGUAUAAUGGGUCAGCGACUUAUAUUCUGUAGCAAGGUUAACCGUAUAGGGGAGCCGCAGGGAAACCGAGUCUUAACUGGGCGUUAAGUUGCAGGGUAUAGACCCGAAACCCGGUGAUCUAGCCAUGGGCAGGUUGAAGGUUGGGUAACACUAACUGGAGGACCGAACCGACUAAUGUUGAAAAAUUAGCGGAUGACUUGUGGCUGGGGGUGAAAGGCCAAUCAAACCGGGAGAUAGCUGGUUCUCCCCGAAAGCUAUUUAGGUAGCGCCUCGUGAACUCAUCUUCGGGGGUAGAGCACUGUUUCGGCUAGGGGGUCAUCCCGACUUACCAACCCGAUGCAAACUACGAAUACCGAAGAAUGUUAUCACGGGAGACACACGGCGGGUGCUAACGUCCGUCGUGAAGAGGGAAACAACCCAGACCGCCAGCUAAGGUCCCAAAGUCAUGGUUAAGUGGGAAACGAUGUGGGAAGGCACAGACAGCCAGGAUGUUGGCUUAGAAGCAGCCAUCAUUUAAAGAAAGCGUAAUAGCUCACUGGUCGAGUCGGCCUGCGCGGAAGAUGUAACGGGGCUAAACCAUGCACCGAAGCUGCGGCAGCGACACUAUGUGUUGUUGGGUAGGGGAGCGUUCUGUAAGCCUGCGAAGGUGGCCUGUGAGGGUUGCUGGAGGUAUCAGAAGUGCGAAUGCUGACAUAAGUAACGAUAAAGCGGGUGAAAAGCCCGCUCGCCGGAAGACCAAGGGUUCCUGUCCAACGUUAAUCGGGGCAGGGUGAGUCGACCCCUAAGGCGAGGCCGAAAGGCGUAGUCGAUGGGAAACAGGUUAAUAUUCCUGUACUUGGUGUUACUGCGAAGGGGGGACGGAGAAGGCUAUGUUAGCCGGGCGACGGUUGUCCCGGUUUAAGCAUGUAGGCUGGUUAUCCAGGCAAAUCCGGAUAAUCAAGGCUGAGGUGUGAUGACGAGGCACUACGGUGCUGAAGUAACAAAUGCCCUGCUUCCAGGAAAAGCCUCUAAGCAUCAGGUAACAUCAAAUCGUACCCCAAACCGACACAGGUGGUCAGGUAGAGAAUACCAAGGCGCUUGAGAGAACUCGGGUGAAGGAACUAGGCAAAAUGGUGCCGUAACUUCGGGAGAAGGCACGCUGGUGUGUAGGUGAAGUCCCUGCGGAUGGAGCUGAGACCAGUCGAAGAUACCAGCUGGCUGCAACUGUUUAUUAAAAACACAGCACUGUGCAAACACGAAAGUGGACGUAUACGGUGUGACGCCUGCCCGGUGCCGGAAGGUUAAUUGAUGGGGUUAUCCGUAAGGAGAAGCUCUUGAUCGAAGCCCCGGUAAACGGCGGCCGUAACUAUAACGGUCCUAAGGUAGCGAAAUUCCUUGUCGGGUAAGUUCCGACCUGCACGAAUGGCGUAAUGAUGGCCAGGCUGUCUCCACCCGAGACUCAGUGAAAUUGAACUCGCUGUGAAGAUGCAGUGUACCCGCGGCAAGACGGAAAGACCCCGUGAACCUUUACUAUAGCUUGACACUGAACAUUGAGCCUUGAUGUGUAGGAUAGGUGGGAGGCUUUGAAGCGUGGACGCCAGUCUGCGUGGAGCCAACCUUGAAAUACCACCCUUUAAUGUUUGAUGUUCUAACGUUGGCCCCUGACCGGGGUUGCGGACAGUGUCUGGUGGGUAGUUUGACUGGGGCGGUCUCCUCCCAAAGCGUAACGGAGGAGCACGAAGGUUAGCUAAUCCUGGUCGGACAUCAGGAGGUUAGUGCAAUGGCAUAAGCUAGCUUGACUGCGAGCGUGACGGCGCGAGCAGGUGCGAAAGCAGGUCAUAGUGAUCCGGUGGUUCUGAAUGGAAGGGCCAUCGCUCAACGGAUAAAAGGUACUCCGGGGAUAACAGGCUGAUACCGCCCAAGAGUUCAUAUCGACGGCGGUGUUUGGCACCUCGAUGUCGGCUCAUCACAUCCUGGGGCUGAAGUAGGUCCCAAGGGUAUGGCUGUUCGCCAUUUAAAGUGGUACGCGAGCUGGGUUUAGAACGUCGUGAGACAGUUCGGUCCCUAUCUGCCGUGGGCGCUGGAGAAUUGAGGGGGGCUGCUCCUAGUACGAGAGGACCGGAGUGGACGCAUCACUGGUGUUCGGGUUGUCAUGCCAAUGGCACUGCCCGGUAGCUAAAUGCGGAAGAGAUAAGUGCUGAAAGCAUCUAAGCACGAAACUUGCCCCGAGAUGAGUUCUCCCUGAGACUUUAAGUCUCCUGAAGGAACGUUGAAGACGACGACGUUGAUAGGCCGGGUGUGUAAGCGCAGCGAUGCGUUGAGCUAACCGGUACUAAUGAACCGUGAGGCUUAACCUU